RNAcentral lists this ribosomal RNA (247 nucleotides) under uncultured bacterium. RNAcentral's name for it is "partial 16S ribosomal RNA". It matches the Rfam family "Bacterial small subunit ribosomal RNA", at positions 15 to 252 of the family's 1533-position model. The record is from RNAcentral.
GAUCCUGGCUCAGGAUGAACGCUAGCUACAGGCUUAACACAUGCAAGUCGAGGGGCAGCAUGAACUUAGCUUGCUAAGUUUGAUGGCGACCGGCGCACGGGUGAGUAACACGUAUCCAACCUGCCGAUGACUCGGGGAUAGCCUUUCGAAAGAAAGAUUAAUACCCGACUGGCAUAGUUCUUCCGCAUGGUAGAACUAUUAAAGAAAUUUCGGUUCAUCGAUGGGGAGUGCGUUCCAUUAGGUUUGG